Molecule: transfer RNA, 86 nt
Filed under: Aneurinibacillus danicus
Lineage: Bacteria; Bacillati; Bacillota; Bacilli; Caryophanales; Paenibacillaceae
Description: tRNA-Leu
Rfam family: tRNA
About the family: Transfer RNA (tRNA) molecules are approximately 80 nucleotides in length. Their secondary structure includes four short double-helical elements and three loops (D, anti-codon, and T loops). Further hydrogen bonds mediate the characteristic L-shaped molecular structure. tRNAs have two regions of fundamental functional importance: the anti-codon, which is responsible for specific mRNA codon recognition, and the 3' end, to which the tRNAs corresponding amino acid is attached (by aminoacyl-tRNA synthetases). tRNAs cope with the degeneracy of the genetic code in two manners: having more than one tRNA (with a specific anti-codon) for a particular amino acid; and 'wobble' base-pairing, i.e. permitting non-standard base-pairing at the 3rd anti-codon position.
Source: RNAcentral
GCGGUCGUGGUGGAAUUGGCAGACACGCUAUCUUGAGGGGGUAGUGAUCAUUGAUCGUGCGAGUUCGAGUCUCGCCGACCGCACCA